This 838-nucleotide long non-coding RNA is filed under the name Fukomys damarensis (Damara mole-rat). Its description in RNAcentral is "lncRNA (ENSFDAG00000022044.1)". Lineage: Eukaryota; Metazoa; Chordata; Mammalia; Rodentia; Bathyergidae. The record is from RNAcentral.
CAGCCGCCUCCCAGGCGGCACCCGGGCACCCGAGCAAGGCCCUCCGAGGUCCCUCCUGCCUGACUAGACAGCUACUCUGGAAUCCGGAGGGAGGUCCGGCAGCAGCAGAGAACAGCGUUGAUUAAUGUCUGGGGGCAGAAUUCCCAGGCAACCACUGCGGCAGGGUCCCAGAAGUGUUUCCAUAACAGCAGGCACUUAUUUCCUUAGACAGCACCCUGCCUAACGGACCGCCAACUACUCAUCCCUCAGUGUCCGGAUGGUGGCAGCUUCACUAACCCGCUGCUUUACUGGUCCCCUUGCCUGGGGGAUGUUUCAGAGUCAUGUUGGCAUUGUCCGGUUCCGGAAGGUAAACAAGCGGAACCAAACCUGUGACCUCCAGGGAGAGUCAGCGUACACCGCUCCCAUCACUGCUGGCCUGGUCCACUCUGUGCUGAUGGUUGGAAGAGAUCAAGGGCUGCUGUUCCACUUUCAGCUGGAUGCAGGAAGGCGACACCAGAGUCAUCGCUCACAAGGAGCUCAAGGACUUGGGGAGGCGAAGACCCAGCAGGCUCAUUCCCUUCCUCCUCCACCCUCCUUCUCUGCUCUCCUCCUGUCUGCGCCAGGUCUUCUGCAAAGCACUGAGGGACACUCACGGAAAACACAGCACACUUCUCCCAGGUGAUGCACAGACCGGUACCAGUAGAUGCCUGUUACACAGGGACGCGAGGCUCAACGUGUGUCUGGUUGGGGGCUUUUUUGAGGAAUGCCCACACAUCCUCCUGACAUUCUGGGAUGCCCACCCUCCUAAAAUUCAAGACUCCACACCAGUCAGUCUGUAAGGACAACACUAGUUUCCGAU